UUGAUCAUGGCUCAGAUUGAACGCUGGCGGCAUGCCUUACACAUGCAAGUCGAACGGUAACAGGCCGCAAGGUGCUGACGAGUGGCGAACGGGUGAGUAACGACAUCGGAACGUGCCUGAUAGUGGGGGAUAACUACUCGAAAGAGUAGCUAAUACCGCAUAAGAUCUCAGGAUGAAAGCAGGGGACCGCAAGGCCUUGCGCUAACAGAGCGGCCGAUGGCAGAUUAGGUAGUUGGUGGGAUAAAAGCUUACCAAGCCGACGAUCUGUAGCUGGUCUGAGAGGACGACCAGCCACACUGGGACUGAGACACGGCCCAGACUCCUACGGGAGGCAGCAGUGGGGAAUUUUGGACAAUGGGCGCAAGCCUGAUCCAGCAAUGCCGCGUGCAGGAUGAAGGCCUUCGGGUUGUAAACUGCUUUGUACGGAACGAAAAAGCUCUGGUUAAUACCUGGGGCCCAUGACGGUACCGUAAGAAUAAGCACCGGCUAACUACGUG
This 497-nucleotide ribosomal RNA is filed under the name uncultured bacterium. RNAcentral's name for it is "bacterial SSU rRNA". It matches the Rfam family "Bacterial small subunit ribosomal RNA", at positions 13 to 507 of the family's 1533-position model. The record is from RNAcentral.